GGGUCAGUAGGUUGGUCGUGCCACCGGUACGUACUGGUCUCACUGAUUCCUCCUUCCUGAAGUACCGUAAUGCCAUUAAUUUGGUGUUGCGGGGAAACAGGACUGUUACUUUGAAAAAAUUAGAGUGUUUAAAGCAAGCUAACGCUUGAAUACAUUAGCAUGGAAUAAUGAAAUAGGACGAUCGAUCCUAUUUUGUUGGUUUCUAGGAUUGACGUA
This 216-nucleotide ribosomal RNA is filed under the name Glomeromycotina sp. RNAcentral's name for it is "partial small subunit ribosomal RNA". The stretch from base 40 to 216 matches the Rfam family "Eukaryotic small subunit ribosomal RNA", at positions 686 to 864 of the family's 1831-position model. The record is from RNAcentral. Lineage: Eukaryota; Fungi; Glomeromycota.